CUCUCUUUUUUGAAGAUUGAUAGGAAGGAAAGCACCUAAGGAAGAUCAGAGGAGAAGGCCGAUGCCAGUGAUAAUAGAGAGGAAGGCGAUGGUGGAGAUCGAUGGGAGAUGGCGGUGAGGAGAGUAGGGAGGAGGUCGACCUCUCUUUUUCUAAGAUCUAUGGGAUGGAAAGCACCUAGAGGGAGAUUUGAGGGGGAAAGCCCAACAUCGGUGAGGAUGGGGAAGAAGGCGAUGAUAGAGAUUGGCAGAAGAUGGCAACGAGGUUUUCUUUUUCAAAGAUCUAUGGGAAGGAAAGCAUCUAAGG
RNAcentral lists this long non-coding RNA (304 nucleotides) under Elaeis guineensis (African oil palm). RNAcentral's name for it is "long non-coding RNA (EGUI_LNC022382)". Lineage: Eukaryota; Viridiplantae; Streptophyta; Magnoliopsida; Arecales; Arecaceae. The record is from RNAcentral.